AAGACAAUGAAGAAGAUGAAGAUAAAUAAUAAAAGACGAAGAAGGCAGGAACCACCCGGAAUAAUCUAAAGCAGUGGUCACAUACCUUUUCUGAGUCAAAAUGCAAGCCGAGAUCUACCGUUUUUACAUGAUUUAAAAACAUAAGCCUAGGCAACAUUAACCUGUAAAAAGCGGUACUCUAGUAAUGAGGUUUGUGCAGUAGGCUAUAAGCACAAUAUAUUAUCACUGCAUAUUGGCUUUGCUUCUCAGACCAUUUUUGACAAUUAUAUUUCAACAUUUGAGGUAGGCUAUAUGAUCACACCAUUAAUAGACCAGUUGUUGUAUUAUUGUGAGGCACAGCUGAAUGAGCAUACAUUUAAAUAAUUCACUUUUUCUUAUUUUACUAGGCAUCUGAUGGUCAGUCUCAGCGGAGGGAGAGAGCAGCAGACUGAGGGGCCUCCGCUGACUCCGACCAAAAAGGGACACAGUCUUCAAAUCAAAUGUUAUUUGUCACACGCGCCGAAUACAACAACCUUACAGUGAAAUUCUUACUUACAAGCAACAAUGCAGUUCAAGAAAUAGAGUUAAGAAAAUAUGUACUAAACAAACUAAAGUUAAAAAAAAUAUUAAAAUCAAAAAGUAACAAGAAAAUUGCACAUCAGAGAGGCUAUAUACAGGGGACACCGGUACCUUGUCAAUAUGCGGGGGUACAGGUUAGUUGAGGUAAUUUGUAAAGUGACUAUGUAUAGAUAAUAAACAGCGAGUAGCAGCAGUGUAAAAAAAAAAGGGGGGGGGGGGGGUCAAUGUAUAGUCCCGGUGGCAAUUAGAUUCAUUGUUCAGCAGUCUUAUGGCUUGGAGGUAGAAGCUGUUAAGGAGCCUUUUGGUCCUAGGCUAUGACUUGGGUGAAUGGAGUCUUUGACAAUUUUUUGGGCCUUCCUCUGACACCGCCUGGUAUAUAGGUCCUGGAUGGCAGGAAGCUUGGCCCCAGGGAUGUACUAGGCCGUGCGCACUACCCUCUGACACCGCCUGGUAUAUAGGUCCUGGAUGGCAGGAAGCUUGUCCCCAGUGACGUACUAGACCGUGCGCACUACCCUCUGUCCCCCAUUUGCUGUAGCUUUCUUUUAUGCCUGCUAUGUUACUGAAGCCAGUCCUCUGAUUGGUAGGCCUAUAGUGCACAUGAAAAAUAGGAACGCAAGGCUUAUUGGUGGGUUUUUCACAGAAUAUUUGGCGAUCGACUAGGAAUGCCUUGGAGAUCGACCUGUUGAUAACCACUGAUCUAAAGAAAGCGUUCCAAACAGGGUUUCGAUGUAGAAGCGCUGUAAAGCCACUUUACUUCACUACAAACUAAAAGGGAAGUCAAGGAAGUCAAAAGAUCCUACUGGGGGAUCGAUGCCAGUGUCAACUCUAGACGUCACAUGACCAAAAUAACAUCCCCACAGUGUGUGACGCCUCAGAUCCCGCAGAGCUAUGUGCACACGAACUGGCCAAGACAAAGACUUGUGGAAUAACAAAAAGCUAAAUGGGCAAUGAAAGAUGCUGUCCACAAAAGAAAAAGACAUUUAGGUGUCGUGAAAAAAACACUUGCCCUCUUUGCUUACACAUGGGCAGCACUAUUGGUUUUGGAGUUGGGCGGCUAUGGAUGGCCAGGCCAAGGGUUUCUAUGUCCUGGAAUGAGAGAGUGGCUCCAAGAAUAAGAAGGCACAUCACUAGCUGCUGGGCAAGGGUCUUCUGAGGUCUGCCUUGUCACAUUGUGAUCCACAGACAUCAAUCGAGUGCCAACAUAAAACAUCUCUUUGUUCGGCCCUGUAGAACAGUUGUGCUACACACACAUUUUCCCCCUGAAACGGACUAUAAAUGUAUUUUGCUUCUCCUUCCAGAUGAAGGGGGUUUGCCAACAUAAAGACCAAAGAGUAACAAUCAUGUUUUCUCUGUGAUUUGAAGGAGCUCCAUUGACAGUUUUGAUAGGGGCGGAAGACUAAUUUUAGAGGGGUUUUGAGGAAGAUGGAUUUCCCCUUAUGGUCAUGUCGUCCUAUCAACUGAGCCAGCCUGAACAAGGAGGACUAGACUGUGGGUCUUCAAGCUGUAACCUUCAUGCUGUGCUGUUGAGACCGCCUGAGAAAACCCAAAGAUACUUCAGAAACCAUGAAAAUCUCCUUAAGUUCACCGGCCCCACUCAGUCCUUGAAGACUGCAGGAGGCCAUUUGAGGUAGCAAGGUUGUCUCCCCUUAGUCCUUUCCAACGUGCUGUGCAGAGAUUUGAACGUUUGAGCAUCUGUGGCUUACUCUGCGAAGUCUGUUUUAGCGUUAAAGUGGUCUAUUAGUUACCGAAUGACAGGGAUUUUGUGCAUUCUUGCCAAUACAGACCCCUGCCAACAUUAGUUUACUGUGAACGCUUCAUUCGACGGCCACCACCAUAUCUAAAGCAUCAUCAGACACAUGCCAAUCACCCAACGGAGUGCUGUGUACAUUGCAGAAUGCACGUUGGGGGCCUCCUGGUUUUCCAAUGCAAAAGGUUUGCUAACAUGCAUCGUUGACCCCAAAUUGCCAGAAAACAACUACAAAUCUGUCAGCACCUCCGCCAUGGCUGGUUGGCGAGGACAAGGAGGGUGGAGAAGUAUCUAAAUGGUCUUCCAUAAUAUUUGUGCUGAAUGAGGCAGUUUUCUCUGAGACAGGACCACUUUGAGCUUUGAGGAUCUAUAUUCACAGAAUGGAAACACACAAGCACUGAAGUUAGCACUGAAUAUGAAUAUGAGGUACGCAUAUACGCAAACAAACUCACCAUGACAAACACUGGAAAAGGUUGGCCCGCCCAUUAGCCUACAAAGGAUUCAUUCCAUGCUUUGUCGGCGACUCAGCGCACAAACCUCCAUGCCAAAUAGCAACUUGACAUUCCAGUCCAUAUGAAGCAAACCAAACAGUGGGUUAAGAAGCCAUGAAGUGCAGCAUUAGUGUACACAGCCAUAAGUCAAGAGAUCUAACCAAGAUAAAAAUGGACAGGAGUCCUGAUUAAAAGGCAGGGAAAGCCUGGGACAACUGUUUACCUGACCUUUCAACUCCUCCUAAACUCAGGCUGAUUGUGCAACAUUGUGCUCUGCGUCUUGGUUAUUUACAAUGGCGAUAUAUUGAGGUGGAUUAAAUUGUUGCCUGCUGUUAAAAUACAUUGGAUUUGUUGAUGCUGGUGGGUGGACUGUUUAGUGAACACUCCAAUUAAACACAAUCAGGCUAUUUCAGAAUGAUGGGAAUUUACCAAGGCAGGCUGUAUUAUAAACACUAUCCAGGUGAUUGGGAGUGACACAUUUAAUGAUUAGUAAUUACUGGAGGAAAUUACCAUAAUGGAGAUGCAACACAUGGUUAAGCCAUGGCUAAGUUGUUCUGUUUACUCUGGGUUGUCCCUAUCAUAAAGUGUCUCAGAGUAGGAGUGCAGAUCUAGGUUCAGUUUUUUGCCUUUUAGAUCAUAAUGAAUAUGAUUGUAUGGACAGGGCGGGACCUGAUCCAAGAUCAGCACUGCUACUCUGAGAUGCUUUGUGAAUACGGGGCCAGGUCUCAGACUCUCAGUAGCCGGUUGGCUGAAGUCAGGUUGGAAGAGUUUGAUUAUACAUGGGGAUACGGCGGAAGGUGAAGGUGUGCUCCACUUUCUUGCCCGGCCUCUCUGCCUUUGUGUCGGUGUGUUUGUUCACCAUGAGGCCAAGUGUUUGAGCUCCAUCCGUUAGGCCAAGACACCUUAAUCAUGGCACCCAUAGUCAGUGAGAUCUAGGCCCAUCCCGCCGCUGAAGGGAGCCUGGGCUCGUCCCAUGGGUGUGGCCUUCUCUCCUGUUGAGUCAUGCAUCACACAACAUCAACCCCCCUUCAUGGAGACACACACACACACACACACACACACACACACACACACACACACACACACACACACACACACACACACACACACACACCAUAACCCCCCUCCACACUCACAUCACACAAUACAUGCACACGACAAUAUAUGCACACAAUACACAUAUCCAACACACACCAGCCCCCACCUAUCUCCCGACCAGCCCUCCACCGUUGGCCAUUUAUCAACACCUGAAUCCCCACUCACAGUUCGGCGUCUUUAGGCCUGAUGACUCACGCUAGAGAGUCCAUGGUGCAUGUCAUACAGGUAGUUCUCACACCACUCACUUUCUCUUUCCGGAAAUGUUUGUCAUCAUCACUCAAUGAAGCUUGGCUAUUCGAAAGGAUUUCUCCAAUGACAGAGAUGGAGGAGGAGCAUCAUCACUGGACAAUAAACGGCCCAACUCACCUCCCCCUCCCAUCUAGAUAGUCACCGGAGACACUUCCCAAAUCUUCAAGACUUUUGUAAUGGAAUAUUUUGACAGCAUGCAAUGCUUAAUUACUUUGCUGGAGUUGCAGAGUGUCAAACCUGCACCGACUUGCUGUGAUAGAAAGACGUAAUUCAUUCAAUAAGAAGGGGGGCAUGACUUUGCUUCAAAGUGCGAGGACAAGAAUAUACUUCUCUGUUCUGUUCCUCUUCAAUGGAAACCAAUGGCCCUUAGCCGUCUUACCACUGCCAUUACUGCUGUGUCUAAGGACAGACUUCUACAGUGCCUCGGAGCCUAGUAGAAGCACAGUGUCUGUCCUGUGAUAGCUGUAUGAGAUUCCACAUGCUCUGAGUAAUUCCUCCCUCCCUCCCCCCUCCUCCCUCACUCCUUGUGCGGUGCGUGGCCCUGAGUCAUCAGCCCAGCCAGGCCCCCACACUUUCCUUCCCAGCCCCUCUCUGGCUGUGGCGAGGAGGACAGCGGAUUCACCGACCAACCGAAGAUUCACGAUCCUCCCAGAUGAAACUCACCGAAUAGCCUCCGAAGGCGAUGACUCACCCCCACGGAAGAGUACUCCUCUCCGUCUCCUCCAGCCAGCCUCCCCCUCUCAGACAGUUCUCCAACUCCACCACACCCCAACCCGGAUCAGAUCAGAAUCCUCCGCCCGUCUCUCUGUCUGGCCCUUGGCGCAAUGUCAAGAAACUGAAGGACAUAUAGCUCACUUGUCUGCAUGUUAAACAAUGGAGACUGGGGAGAUAAUGUCAUCCUAAGGCCAGCCUGCAGGGUACUUAGCUAUCAUUAGUGAGGAUGAAGAUGUCUAUAGUUCUGUCUGGGCAAGGUGUGCUGUGAUCUUGAAUCAUCCCACUCAUCUAAAGUAUCGUGAUGCUGUACGUAGCACCUUGAACGAGCCGCGAACUUUGGAUAAGAACGUCUGUUGCAUCUACCGAGAUUUGUUUGACUAAUUCAUUGACGACGGCCGUAAUGUCGAAAUGCAUCAGUUGGGAAUAACAAAUAAGCAUUUUCUAUUCAAUUUUCAAUGCCCUCCAACUUGUUCCAAGACUGUCUGAACAUCUUUGAGGGACUUGACAAUGUGACCAAUGGAUUUACAUUUACAUUUUUUUUUACAUUUUAGUCAUUUAGCAGAUGCUCUUACCCAGAGCAACUUACAGUAGUGAAUGCAUACAUACAUACAUUUCAUCUCAUACAUUUUUCGUUUUUUUCUCUGUACUGGCCCCCCGUGGGAAUCGAACCCACAACCCUGGCAUUGCAAACACCAUGCUCUACCAACUGAGCCACAGGGAGCCAUCAUAGAGCUUGUAAUAUGUCCGUAUGAGUGCGUCGCUCAUAACAUAGAGACUUGUUCUUAUAGGAGAUUCU
Molecule: transfer RNA, 5653 nt
Filed under: Salmo salar (Atlantic salmon)
Lineage: Eukaryota; Metazoa; Chordata; Actinopteri; Salmoniformes; Salmonidae
Description: lncRNA (ENSSSAG00000089593.1)
Source: RNAcentral